Long non-coding RNA from Mangifera indica (mango), 145 nucleotides. RefSeq lists it as uncharacterized. The record is from RefSeq and is a predicted model, not a curated record. The transcript is spliced from 2 exons. NCBI's taxonomy places the organism in Eukaryota, Viridiplantae, Streptophyta, Magnoliopsida, Sapindales, Anacardiaceae.
GUCUUUAUUCUAUAAAUGCUUCAACUCUCAGCAAGCAAUGGGACAAGAUGGGGCCUUUUUUGGAAAGAACUGUAGCCUCUUUUCGCCUUCUACCUCCAACUGGUAACUAUGCUCCUCCAUACAAGGAUCCAUGGAGAUUUUGGUG